Molecule: ribosomal RNA, 505 nt
Filed under: uncultured bacterium
Lineage: Bacteria
Description: partial 16S ribosomal RNA
Rfam family: Bacterial small subunit ribosomal RNA
Source: RNAcentral
GACGAACGCUGGCGGCGUGCCUAAUACAUGCAAGUAGAACGCACAGUUUAUACCGUAGCUUGCUACACCAUAGACUGUGAGUUGCGAACGGGUGAGUAACGCGUAGGUAACCUGCCUGGUAGCGGGGGAUAACUAUUGGAAACGAUAGCUAAUACCGCAUAAUAUUGAUUAUUGCAUGAUAAUUGAUUGAAAGAUGCUAUUGCAUCACUACCAGAUGGACCUGCGUUGUAUUAGCUAGUAGGUGAGGUAACGGCUCACCUAGGCGACGAUACAUAGCCGGCCUGAGAGGGUGAUCGGCCACACUGGGACGGAGACACGGCACAGACUCCUACAGGAGGGAGCAGGAGGGAAUCUUCGGGAAUGGACGAAAGUCUGACCGAGCAACGCCGCGGGAGUGAAGAAGGUUUUCGGAUCGUAAAGCUCUGUUGUAAGGGAAGAAAGGGUGUGAGAGUGGAAAGUUCACACUGUGACGGUAUCUUACCAGAAAGGGACGGCUAACUACGUG